UACGUAGGGUGCGAGCGUUAAUCGGAAUUACUGGGCGUAAAGUGUGCGCAGGCGGCCAUGCAAGUCGAGUGUGAAAGCCCCGGGCUUAACUUGGGAAUUGCGCUCGAAACUACGUGGCUGGAGUGUGGCAGAGGAAGGUGGAAUUCCACGUGUAGCGGUGAAAUGCGUAGAGAUGUGGAGGAACACCAAUGGCGAAGGCAGCCUUCUGGGCCAACACUGACGCUCAUGCACGAAAGCCAGGGGAGCGAACGGG
This 253-nucleotide ribosomal RNA is filed under the name uncultured bacterium. RNAcentral's name for it is "partial 16S ribosomal RNA". It matches the Rfam family "Bacterial small subunit ribosomal RNA", at positions 524 to 776 of the family's 1533-position model. The record is from RNAcentral.